This 374-nucleotide long non-coding RNA is filed under the name Daucus carota (carrot). Its description in RNAcentral is "long non-coding RNA (DCAR_LNC004151)". The record is from RNAcentral. Lineage: Eukaryota; Viridiplantae; Streptophyta; Magnoliopsida; Apiales; Apiaceae.
CUCUUAUAGAUUAAGAUGGAUUCAAACCGGAAUGACAACCCUAUUGAUGAAUCAAUACCAAAUGCUUCACCUGGAUUUCAACCCAGACCCAAUUCUGUUUAAUUACUUGACAACAUACCCGGAAUUUUCAAAACAAUCCUGAAAGAAGUUUUUCGAGUCAACUUACGAAACCUACCUUUCCAAUCAAAUCUUUCAAAUUUUUGCAACCCUAAGUAUUUAAAGGGGUUAUAGAUCACGUUGAUGACAAGAUAUGGCUAAGAGAAAUAGAAAAGAUUGUUGAAAUAGUUGGUGUAGAAUAUGAUAAGAAAACUAUCUUUGCUACUUAAUGAAGAGGCUAAUUAUUGGUGGGAAGCUAAGCAAGUUCUAGAAGAGUC